This 468-nucleotide ribosomal RNA is filed under the name uncultured bacterium. RNAcentral describes it as "partial 16S ribosomal RNA". It matches the Rfam family "Bacterial small subunit ribosomal RNA", at positions 28 to 507 of the family's 1533-position model. The record is from RNAcentral.
GACGAACGCUGGCGGCGUGCUUAACACAUGCAAGUCGAACGGAAAGGCCCUGCUUUUGUGGGGUGCUCGAGUGGCGAACGGGUGAGUAACACGUGAGUAACCUGCCCUUGACUUUGGGAUAACUUCGGGAAACUGGGGCUAAUACCGGAUAGGAGCUCCUGCUGCAUGGUGGGGGUUGGAAAGUUUCGGCGGUUGGGGAUGGACUCGCGGCUUAUCAGCUUGUUGGUGGGGUAGUGGCUUACCAAGGCUUUGACGGGUAGCCGGCCUGAGAGGGUGACCGGCCACCUUGGGACUGCGAUACGGCCCAGACUCCUACGGGCGGCAGCAGUGGGGAAUAUUGCACAAUGGGCGGACGCCUGAUGCAGCAACGCCGCGUGCGGGAUGACGGCCUUCGGGUUGUAAACCGCUUUCGCCUGUGCCGAAGCGUGAGUGACGGUAAUGGGUAAAGAAGCACCGGCUAACUACGUG